RNAcentral lists this ribosomal RNA (253 nucleotides) under uncultured bacterium. RNAcentral's name for it is "partial 16S ribosomal RNA". It matches the Rfam family "Bacterial small subunit ribosomal RNA", at positions 524 to 776 of the family's 1533-position model. The record is from RNAcentral.
UACAGAGACUCCAAGCGUUAUUCGGAUUCACUGGGCGUAAAGGGAGCGCAGGCGGCCAUGUAUGUCGGAGGUGAAAUCUUGCAGCUCAACUGUAAAAUUGCCUUCGAAACUACAUGGCUAGAGUAUCGGAGAGGUAAGCGGAAUUCCAGGUGUAGCAGUGAAAUGCGUAGAUAUCUGGAGGAACACCGAAAGCGAAGGCAGCUUACUGGACGAUUACUGACGCUCAGGCUCGAAAGCAUGGGUAGCGAAAGGG